Oreochromis niloticus (Nile tilapia) is the source of this 860-nucleotide long non-coding RNA. RefSeq lists it as uncharacterized. The transcript has 2 exons. NCBI's taxonomy places the organism in Eukaryota, Metazoa, Chordata, Actinopteri, Cichliformes, Cichlidae. The record is from RefSeq and is a predicted model, not a curated record.
CAGUCCUUGAGGGCCGCUGUCCUCAAACUUUUCCAUGCGUCCCUGCUGCAACACACCUGAAUACGAUCAGUAUGUGAUUAGCAGGACUCUAUAGAACCUGACUGCACGCUGAGGUGGCAACUCCUAACCCUACUGAUGUAAAUUUAAGUAAAUCAGGGACAUGGAAAAGUUAGCGGACAGCGGCCCUCGGGGACUGGAGUUGGAGACCCCUGGCCUACAUAAAGAUGAAGUUCUGACAUGGGGCUUUCAGACUGGGUACAUUUAGAAUGAAUAUUUUUAGAAUUUAGAUUUUAAGUAAGCUUAGGCAAAAAGUUUGCAUAAAACAGACGAUUGAUAGAAUUAAUGUUUCUCUGUGGCAGAAAAACCCUGAGAGUGAACCUCUGCCAUGCACUGAGCAAGCAAGUCAAUAAACAGGUAAAUACUAUUAAUGAUAUGAAAAAUACAGUCCUGGUAGCUUCUUUCUGCAGAUGUCAGCUGCUCUACAUUUGCCUUCUCAUUUCCACUUUUAGAAGAAAUGUUAAAGUUUAUUUUCAUAAACCAAUGCAGUUACUAACUUGUUUUUUAUCUAGAUUAUUUUGCGCACACUGAAACCCACACAAACAGCUGUCCAUCAUCCUCAUCAAGUUCAAGUCAUUUGUAUGACAGUAUUAAUUUAAUGCUCUUGAAAUGCUGAGCAAAGAGACGUUUAGUGUCUAAUAUAAAAUUAUAGAAGACACAACACCUGGUCUGUUGGGUUAAUGCUGUCUAAACAUUUUUAGAUUGAAUCUUUUCCAUCCUUUCAGUCGGCUCUCUGCAGAAACCUGUUAAAUCAUCAUAAAGUUAAACUUCUUUUUAAACUUUUUUCUUUUUAAACCAUCUGA